RNAcentral lists this ribosomal RNA (253 nucleotides) under uncultured bacterium. Its description in RNAcentral is "partial 16S ribosomal RNA". It matches the Rfam family "Bacterial small subunit ribosomal RNA", at positions 524 to 776 of the family's 1533-position model. The record is from RNAcentral.
CACGUAGGAGGCGAGCGUUGUCCGGAAUCAUUGGGCGUAAAGAGCGCGCAGGCGGCUUGGCAAGUCGGGUGUGAAAUCCCGGGGCUCAACCCCGGGACUGCAUUCGAUACUGUCAGGCUAGAGGUAGGUAGGGGAGAUCGGAAUUCCUGGUGUAGCGGUGAAAUGCGCAGAUAUCAGGAGGAACACCGGUGGCGAAGGCGGAUCUCUGGGCCUUACCUGACGCUCAGGCGCGAAAGCUAGGGGAGCGAACGGG